Molecule: long non-coding RNA, 432 nt
Organism: Symphalangus syndactylus (siamang)
Lineage: Eukaryota; Metazoa; Chordata; Mammalia; Primates; Hylobatidae
Source: RefSeq, a predicted model, not a curated record
CCAGCUUUGUGGGAGCCAAGCAGAAGAGAAGCCAAUCCAUAGAGCAUCCGUCCUCCCCCAUCACUAGGAGGUUCCUUGGCCUCCCUGCUGAUCCCUUCCCUUGGCCUGACCCCCACAUCUCUCUGUGCCAGAUACUCUCCCGGGGUCCCAACCCUUGCGCCUCUGGCAAAAAUGGGGCAGUGAGUCAGAGACAGCAUGAACAUGUGGAAGAACCAAGAGAAAGAGAAGACUCAGCAGGCCAGAAAGCCUGUCCCAUUGGCAGUAGCCAAGAGACAAAGAAUAGAAUGGAGAUCCACCUUUGUAACCCCCAGAAGCAAUCCAGGCCCAGCCCCAGCAAAGCGAGGACUGUCUUGGCCACAGCCUGCCAAUCCCAGCUGCCUAUCCCUGGGCACAUGAAGGGCUCAGCCCCUGGCCUGCCUACCAAUCCCAGCC